Molecule: ribosomal RNA, 301 nt
Filed under: uncultured bacterium
Lineage: Bacteria
Description: partial 16S ribosomal RNA
Rfam family: Bacterial small subunit ribosomal RNA
Source: RNAcentral
CAGCAGCCGCGGUAAUACGUAGGUGGCAAGCGUUGUCCGGAAUUAUUGGGCGUAAAGCGCGCGCAGGCGGAUAGGUCAGUCUGUCUUAAAAGUUCGGGGCUUAACCCCGUGAUGGGAUGGAAGCUGCCAAUCUAGAGUAUCGGAGAGGAAAGUGGAAUUCCUAGUGUAGCGGUGAAAUGCGUAGAUAUUAGGAAGAACACCAGUGGCGAAGGCGACUUUCUGGACGAAAACUGACGCUGAGGCGCGAAAGCCAGGGGAGCGAACGGGAUUAGAGACCCGGGUAGUCCCUGUCUCUUAUACA